UCGGCCAGAGAAUCUAGAGGAAAACUCACUUGUGGGAUUUGUACCCAAGUUGAUGACCAACUUUGGAGCUUCUCCAGAUUUCUGCUGAUCUGAGUCCUGCAGUGUUGAACUCCCAGGACUAUAAACCUUCUCAGUUCACUGGAGGAUCAGCUGACCAUGCAAAGUCUCCUCUCUAUGGAAAUGAUUUCUCUGCUCUCAACAGACUGAAGGCAACGUGGGACACAACAUCAGGAGGAAUACUGCUCGGAUUAACAAUAUCUCUGAUCUUAAUGGAUUAGAAGAAUAUAUUGAUAUUAGAAGCGCAGUUGAGGAUGAGUUUGUGUCCACUGUGGUUGGUAUGAGAUGUCUGUUUGUCUGCCUUUAAAUUACUUACAGGGUUUACUGAAGAUAAAUAACACAUUUCACUUCUGCUUAAUAUGAGUUUGGUAAUUAUUUUCAUUUUAAAUCAUCAUGUUUAUUUAACUUUGUAUCAACUUAUAUAAAGUAUCAACUUAUAUAAAACUGUGAAAUAUGAGUAAUAUGAGUUUCUUCUGGGCAGAAACAUUUGGGGGUGGCAGUAGCUCAGUCUGUAGGGACUUGUCUUGGUAACCAGAGGGUAGCUGGUUUAAGUCCCCCGUAUGAACCAAGUACGGAGUGUGGAGUGGAAGCUGGAGAGGUGCCAGUUCACCUCCUGGGUGCUGCCAUGGUGCCUUUGAGAAGGCACUGAACCUCCAACUGCUCCGGGUCCAAGUUACACUGAAUUGUAUUACUUUCACUCUAAGAGAAACUAUUCAUUCAAUAAAAAAUGUGGCAUGGACAUUAAUAAUGACAUCAAUUAUCAAUAAACAAAACUGUGGAUUAUAA
Perca fluviatilis (European perch) is the source of this 843-nucleotide long non-coding RNA. RefSeq lists it as uncharacterized. The record is from RefSeq and is a predicted model, not a curated record. The transcript is spliced from 2 exons. NCBI's taxonomy places the organism in Eukaryota, Metazoa, Chordata, Actinopteri, Perciformes, Percidae.